Molecule: transfer RNA, 85 nt
Rfam family: tRNA
About the family: Transfer RNA (tRNA) molecules are approximately 80 nucleotides in length. Their secondary structure includes four short double-helical elements and three loops (D, anti-codon, and T loops).
Source: Rfam
UCCUCCGUGGCCCAGCUGGCUAAGGCGUCCGGCUGUUAUUCAAUAUGCAACCGGAAGAUCGACAGUUCGAUCCUGUCCGGGGGAG